This 1242-nucleotide ribosomal RNA is filed under the name Triticum aestivum (bread wheat). Its description in RNAcentral is "partial small subunit ribosomal RNA". The record is from RNAcentral. Lineage: Eukaryota; Viridiplantae; Streptophyta; Magnoliopsida; Poales; Poaceae.
AUGGAAGAGAAGAAGCCGCGGCGGCAGGGAGCCGCAGUACGCGAUGGCAUCGUGCAGUACCCGCACCUCUUCAUCGCGGCCCUGGCGCUGGCCCUGGUCGUCAUGGACCCCUUCCACCUCGGCCCGCUGGCUGGGAUCGACUACCGGCCGGUGAAGCACGAGCUGGCGCCAUACAGGGAGGUCAUGCAGCGCUGGCCGAGGGACAACGGCAGCCGCCUCAGGCUCGGCAGGCUCGAGUUCGUCAACGAGGUGUUCGGGCCGGAGUCCAUCGAGUUCGACAGCCAGGGCCGCGGGCCCUACGCCGGGCUCGCCGACGGCCGCGUCGUGCGGUGGAUGGGGGACAAGACCGGGUGGGAGACGUUCGCCGUCAUGAAUCCUGACUGGUCGGAGAAAGUUUGUGCUAACGGAGUGGAGUCAACGACGAAGAAGCAGCACGGGAAGGAGAAGUGGUGCGGCCGGCCUCUCGGGCUGAGGUUCCACAGGGAGACCGGCGAGCUCUUCAUCGCCGACGCGUACUAUGGGCUCAUGGCCGUCGGCGAAAGCGGCGGCGUGGCGACCUCCCUGGCAAGGGAGGUCGGCGGGGACCCGGUCCACUUCGCCAACGACCUCGACAUCCACAUGAACGGCUCGAUAUUCUUCACCGACACGAGCACGAGAUACAGCAGAAAGGAUCAUUUGAACAUUUUGCUAGAAGGAGAAGGCACGGGGAGGCUGCUGAGAUAUGACCGAGAAACCGGUGCCGUUCAUGUCGUGCUCAACGGGCUGGUCUUCCCAAACGGCGUGCAGAUUUCACAGGACCAGCAAUUUCUCCUCUUCUCCGAGACAACCAACUGCAGGAUCAUGAGGUACUGGCUGGAAGGUCCAAGAGCGGGCCAGGUGGAGGUGUUCGCGAACCUGCCGGGGUUCCCCGACAACGUGCGCCUGAACAGCAAGGGGCAGUUCUGGGUGGCGAUCGACUGCUGCCGGACGCCGACGCAGGAGGUGUUCGCGAGGUGGCCGUGGCUGCGGACCGCCUACUUCAAGAUCCCGGUGUCGAUGAAGACGCUGGGGAAGAUGGUGAGCAUGAAGAUGUACACGCUUCUCGCGCUCCUCGACGGCGAGGGGAACGUGGUGGAGGUGCUCGAGGACCGGGGCGGCGAGGUGAUGAAGCUGGUGAGCGAGGUGAGGGAGGUGGACCGGAGGCUGUGGAUCGGGACCGUUGCGCACAACCACAUCGCCACGAUCCCUUACCCGCUGGACUAG